UUAAAUAGCCUUUGACCUGACUCUUAAAUUCAUCACAACGGAUUCCAAACAAGGAAGGACCAUGGUCUGCUCUUUAAUAUAUCACUUGCCGCCCAAGGAGGGGAAUUGUCCAGGAUCUUCAAUUUUAGGAGCUGCUGCAUUGCCGGACGUGCUACCACCAUAUCCACCCCUUGAACCACGGCCACGUCCACGUCCACGACCGCUUGGGUUAAAGUACCUCUCUCCUUCAGCAGGCUUCAAGAACUCGUUUAUGCUAACAGACUACAACAUUCAAAUAACAACCACAUUAAACAUAUGAACAGAAAGAUCAUCGAGUAACAUGAUAGAAGUCUUCAAUAAUAAAAAUGAUCAGUUUUUCAAGAAAAGAUUGUUGAAACUAAUAAGACUGUCAUUAUACUAAUGCAGUCCCCUGGACACUCCAAGUCUGCUAGCGUUGACACCAAGCUUCUCAUAAUCACUGUUAAGGAGUUUUCCAAGAAGCAAUGAAUAACAGGUAAACGCCUUGAGAACAGAGUGCAACUUAUGAAGUCGCAAGUGUUAUAAUAACCAAAGCGUUAUCUAAAACUUCUACCAACAGAUAAGUAGACAAGCUCAAGUUGUGGGACCAAAGGAACUGAACAAUAAAAUUGUAUACUUCAUUAGACAAAGAAAGAAGCAUUAAUUCUACAGCUCUCAGACAGAAAUAAAGCAUAGAAGAAAUAUUCUGAGGAAAAAAGCAAUCAGUGUUAGUUAUCAAUGAUUAAUGCAAUCAUUAAUUAAUUUAAAAUAAAUUUGGAAAGCUUUGCAAACCAUAAGAACUGUUUAUCUUCUAACUAGGUUUAGGUGAGAAAGAGGCAGACCUUCUUGGCUUUCUCUUCCUUAUCAGCAGCAUCUUUGCGUUUGUCCUUUUCAGAUCCCUGAGAAAAAGGGUGGAAAAAGGUUAACGCACCAGCAAAACAUGGCCAAGUACUAUAAAAAGGGAAUUUAAUGGUUCUUACCACUUUGAUAAAAACAUCAUCAUUGCUCUUCUUAUUUGAAAGUGGUUGCAUGGAC
RNAcentral lists this long non-coding RNA (1032 nucleotides) under Citrus maxima (pomelo). RNAcentral describes it as "long non-coding RNA (CMAX_LNC002108)". The record is from RNAcentral. Lineage: Eukaryota; Viridiplantae; Streptophyta; Magnoliopsida; Sapindales; Rutaceae.